UCAGAUGACAUGUUCUUCAGCCCAGAG
This 27-nucleotide non-coding RNA is filed under the name Mus musculus (house mouse). The record is from RNAcentral. Lineage: Eukaryota; Metazoa; Chordata; Mammalia; Rodentia; Muridae.